RNAcentral lists this ribosomal RNA (446 nucleotides) under uncultured bacterium. RNAcentral's name for it is "partial 16S ribosomal RNA". It matches the Rfam family "Bacterial small subunit ribosomal RNA", at positions 338 to 795 of the family's 1533-position model. The record is from RNAcentral.
CCUACGGGAGGCAGCAGUCGAGAAUCAUUCACAAUGGGGGAAACCCUGAUGGUGCGACGCCGCGUGGGGGAAUGAAGGUCUUCGGAUUGUAAACCCCUGUCAUGUGGGAGCAAAUUAAAAAGAUAGUACCACAAGAGGAAGAGACGGCUAACUCUGUGCCAGCAGUCGCGGUAAUACAGAGGUCUCAAGCGUUGUUCGGAAUCACUGGGCGUAAGGCGUGCGUAGGCUGUUUCGUAAGUCGUGUGUGAAAGGCGCGGGCUCAACCCGCGGACGGCACAUGAUACUGCGAGACUAGAGUAAUGGAGGGGGAACCGGAAUUCUCGGUGUAGCAGUGAAAUGCGUAGAUAUCGAGAGGAACACUCGUGGCGAAGGCGGGUUCCUGGACAUUAACUGACGCUGAGGCACGAAGGCCAGGGGAGCGAAAGGGAUUAGAUACCCUUGUAGUC